UAAAAACCCCGACUUCGGAAGGGGUGUAUUUAUUAGAUACAAAACCAAUGCCCUUCGGGGCUCUUUGGUGAUUCAUGAUAACUAUACGAAUCGCACGGCCUUGCGCCGGCGAUGGUUCAUUCAAAUUUCUUCCCUAUCAACUUUCGAUGUUUGGGUAUUGGCCAAACAUGGUUGCAACGGGUAACGGAGGGUUAGGGCUCGACCCCGGAGAAGGAGCCUGAGAAACGGCUACUACAUCCAAGGAAGGCAGCAGGCGCGCAAAUUACCCAAUCCCGACUCGGGGAGGUAGUGACAAUAAAUACUGAUACAGGGCCCUUUCGGGCCUUGUAAUUGGAAUGAGUACAAUUUAAAUCCCUUAACGAGGAACAAUUGGAGGGCAAGUCUGGUGCCAGCAGCCGCGGUAAUUCCAGCUCCAAUAGCGUAUAUUAAAGUUGUUGUGGUUAAAAAGCUCGUAGUUGAACCUUGGGCCUGGCUGGCCGGUCCGCCUCACCGCGUGCACUGGUCCGGCCGGGCCUUUCCCUCUGUGGAACCCCACACCCUUCACUGGGCGUGGCGGGGAAACAGGACAUUUACUUU
This 576-nucleotide ribosomal RNA is filed under the name uncultured eukaryote. Its description in RNAcentral is "SSU rRNA". It matches the Rfam family "Eukaryotic small subunit ribosomal RNA", at positions 174 to 758 of the family's 1831-position model. The record is from RNAcentral.